This is a ribosomal RNA of 848 nucleotides. It matches the Rfam family "Eukaryotic small subunit ribosomal RNA", at positions 893 to 1773 of the family's 1831-position model.
CGUAUCAUUACGCGAGAGGUGAAAUUCGUGGACCGUAGUGAGACGCCCAACAGCGAAAGCAUUUGCCAAGAAUGUCUUCAUUAAUCAAGAACGAAAGUCAGAGGUUCGAAGGCGAUUAGAUACCGCCCUAGUUCUGACCGUAAACGAUGCCAUCUCGCGAUUCGGAGGGUUUCUGCCCUACCGAGGAGCUAUCCGGAAACGAAAGUCUUUCGGUUCCGGGGGUAGUAUGGUUGCAAAGCUGAAACUUAAAGAAAUUGACGGAAGGGCACCACAAGGCGUGGAGCUUGCGGCUUAAUUUGACUCAACACGGGAAAACUCACCCGGUCCGGACACCAUUAGGACUGACAGAUUGAAAGCUCUUUCUCGAUUUGGUGGUUGGUGGUGCAUGGCCGUUCUUAGUUGGUGGAGUGAUUUGUCUGGUUUAUUCCGAUAACGAGCGAGACUCUAGCCUGCUAAAUAGUCGACGAAUCUUCGGGUUCGUAUAACUUCUUAGAGGGAUAAGCGGUGUUUAGCCGCACGAGAUUGAGCGAUAACAGGUCUGUGAUGCCCUUAGAUGUCCGGGGCUGCACGCGUGCUACACUGGUGGAGUCAGCGGGUUUUUCCUAUGCCGAAAGGUAUCGGUAAACCGUUGAAAUUCUUCCAUGUCCGGGAUAGGGUAUUGUAAUUAUUGCCCUUAAACGAGGAAUGCCUAGUAAGUGUGAGUCAUCAGCUCACGUUGAUUACGUCCCUGCCCUUUGUACACACCGCCCGUCGCUAUCCGGGACUGAACUGAUUCGAGAAGAGUGGGGACUGUGGCUCUGAGGUCUCACGACUUCGUUGUUGCGGAAACCAUUUUUAUCGCAUUGGUU